This 76-nucleotide transfer RNA is filed under the name Pseudomonadota bacterium. RNAcentral describes it as "tRNA-Lys". It matches the Rfam family "tRNA". From Rfam's summary of the family: Transfer RNA (tRNA) molecules are approximately 80 nucleotides in length. Their secondary structure includes four short double-helical elements and three loops (D, anti-codon, and T loops). RNAcentral also lists the same sequence under 1 other name. Lineage: Bacteria; Pseudomonadati; Pseudomonadota. The record is from RNAcentral.
GGGCCGUUAGCUCAGUUGGUAGAGCAACUGACUCUUAAUCAGUUGGCCGUAGGUUCGAGCCCUACACGGCCCACCA